Molecule: ribosomal RNA, 606 nt
Filed under: Yarrhpelopia norrisi
Lineage: Eukaryota; Metazoa; Arthropoda; Insecta; Diptera; Chironomidae
Description: partial large subunit ribosomal RNA
Source: RNAcentral
UUCAAUACUGUUGCUUGCAAUGGUGUGCACUUUUCUCUUAGUAAGACGUUGUGAUCCAUUAGGAAUCGAUUGUCUAUCUAAUAUUGGACAAUCAAUAGGCUACCAAUAGGCUGGCAUUGAAGUUCAUUCUGGUAAAUAACAUUAUCUUUUGGUUGUGUAUAUUACCUUGUGAGCAUGYCGUGUUCUGAUGUAGCUGCCUGAUGGAUUUUAAAGGUCRUAUCAUUGAUGCUUGCAUCACCCAACUCGUUGGGAUUNNNNNNNNNNNNNNNNNNNNNNCCCGAUCAACAACGGUUUCAUUUGGGAUACCUUUGGGACCCGUCUUGAAACACGGACCAAGGAGUCUAUCUAGUAUGCGAGUAAAUGGGAUUUAAAGACCUAUUUGCGUAAAUAACUUGACUGUAAUUUAAUGGGAUUACGUGUGCAUUUACUUUACAGUGUGUACACCUCCAUCCCGGGGUAUUUUCAUCAUUUAUAUGGGCAACUAUAUAAAGAAAAUAUACCAUGAGCAUACUGGACAUGACCCGAAAGAUGGUGAACUAUGCCUGAUCAGGUUGAAGUCAGGGGAAACCCUGAUGGAGGACCGAAGCAAUUCUGACGUGCAAAUCG